GAACCUGGAAUUGAGGGGAAGGUCAGCAAUUUUCUCAUUUGGCAAAACGGUAUCAGAAGACUUAAAUAUGUGCAUUUUUUCAGCCUUUUUUAGAUCCAUCACUGGAGUGCGUACACGCUCCAUACAUUCAUUAGCUGUUUGGUAAGAUUUAUAUUCAUUUAAGUUGGAAAAGCUCUCUAAGAUCACCAAGUCCAACUGUUAAUCUAGCACCACCAAGUCUGCCACUAAACCUUGUCCCUAAGCACCAUAGCAGUGGUUCAUUACAGUUCAUUUACAUUGGGUCUGUCCUGAAGAUGCAAAUCUGUGGACAUGCGCAGCUUGAACCACUUCUCAUACACAACAGAAAGAAACAGGAAUAUCUUGGAUCAGAUGGCUCUGGCUGGUUCACUGAUUAGGGUUUUCAGCAAUUCAGGACAUUAACUGUUAGAAGUGAUAUAGCUUAUCAAAAGAACAGGUAUCCUCUAAGACUAAUUCAAACUUUUGCUCCAGUAUUUUCUUGUUCUACACUGUCUGUGCUGUAGAGCAAAGGUACCUACCUAACCGUAGCCAUGGUUACGACAGUUUUUCAUAAUCCUAGUUGUUAACCAUUAUUUAGCUUCCCACUAAGCCAGUUUUGGAAUUCCGUAUGCUUAUUUUUGUCUGGGGUAGGGGAGUGAGGGGCAGCUAAUUAGCAAUUUGCUAUUUUUUUCCCUGUGAAGAAGGCUUAAAAACAAAGGGUAAAAAACAGUAUACUGUCUUGAUCUCUUAAAAUUUAAACUGAAAUUUUAAACGACAUGAUUUUUUUUUCUCUAAAAUAAUUAUGGCAUUUCAGUUGCUGCAUAAAUAUAUGCUUAUACCUCUCAAGUAAACAGAAUGCUUAAGAAAACAAGCAAGCUGGGAAAGAAAGAACAAUAAUUAAAUAGCUGGAGGUAUACUCAAGUGCUUUCCAGUACUGGGGACUUACAUGUUGUUCUAAUGGAGAAACCUCUGCUAGUGAUACCAAGUUGCUGUACACUGAAUUGCAAUUGAUUUAAAAUAGCAAUCCGUGGCAAAAGGAAAGGCAAACACCAGCCUACGGAAAUUGCAUGAAGCAUACACGCUGGCUAGUUACCUUCCUGCUCUAUGGAAUUACCUGACAAACUCAUAGCUAAACAGUUGAGUUGAUUUUUCAUCUUCAGGAGAAAAGGAUUCAAACUGUAAGUAAGUCCGUAGCUUACUCUAGCAUUCUUCUUUCCUGUUUUCCACACAACACAUGGCCAGAACCUGACUUUGAGUAUGUAAGUAGCUCACCAGACAGGUUAAGUAACUGAGAGACUUGCCCUCAGAUGCACCUGUCCAGCCAAGCAGCUAUUAUUCCUACCCCAAUACUAUUUAAGUCACAUUCCCCCUUAAGUUUACGGUCUGAUAGCUUUGAAAUCUUUACACACCCAAGUAAUUCAAUUAAAAUCAGCUGGAUUGCUUUUCUAAUGGAGUAUUGGUAUUUCUUUUACAAAUCCCACUAUGCCAAAGAAUAUGAUUAAUGUCUAUUUUUAAACUCUUUUAACGUGGAUAUGGCCUGGAACAGUAGACGUGAGAAAAUUCAGUUUCUGUAAUCUAGGAUACUUACUGACUUUUUAGCAGGUGCUUUUAGUUGCAGUUAGAAAGCAAAUUAGUUGAUUUUACUUACGUCACAGUUUUCAUGUAUUUCUAAUCAAGUUCUCCUUAAGGUUAUUAAAAUUAAUGGCGCAAUUAAUUACUCAAGUCAGAAUGUCAAUACCAACAAUUCUCAUUAGGUUUAGUUCAAUUUUGGAAAAAAAAAAAAAAGUAGAAUUCAUCAUGUAUACUUUAAGGUAUAACAACAAUAACAGAUAAAGUCUGCAUUUUGUUUUACUGAACACUCAGUUUAGCAAUUAAACCAUAUCAAAUCAUCAUUCUAAAAUCUUGAAUGGAAGAAGUUUAAGGAAAUUUAAAUUUAUAAAACAUUGAUGAAAACAGAACUGAAAGAGCCAUUUCUCAGUGGAAGAAGUGAGUAACCAUGAAAUUAGGACACACCGCUGUCAAUAUAGCUCUAAUCUUUUCAGAUUCUUUUCUAAGCUUCUUUUCAGACUAAUACUCUGCUGUGGACUGCUGCAGAGGUGUUGGCUGACUGUGAGCAUGCAAGGAAUGAACUCAUUGCAUCUGAACCUGAAUUCACUCUCUCAGCAAGUGAUAUUACCUACUUGUACAAGAAGUUGCAUGGAGCCAUCUGUGGGUACAGGGUCCUUUGAGUUUGGCUGUGGUUUGAUCGGUACAGAGGAUUCAAGUAAUCUGCACGAUUUUUCCACAAGUGAGCCCACAGUGAAUAUGUUCGUUCUUGGAUUCUGAAAAAAUAGAGUCAAAUGUAUAAACAUCUCAAGCACAACUCAGGUAUCAAUAAAGCUUGGGUAAGACAUUCUAGUGCUCUGCUUGUUUACAGUCAACUUUAUACUUCCUUAGCAGAAUAAGAUGUAUCCCUUUGUUGGUCAUUAACAGCAAAAUCCAAUCCGUUCCCCAUAAAGCCAGAGCAGCUGGAGAGAGAAUGUAGAGAACUGGGUUCAUUUUAGGUUUCCUCUGUAGAAGUCCUAGAAAAGCCCCAUGAACCUUCCCCCGCAGUAUGCAUGGAAGGGUGACGGACAGCUUGGUGCUUUCUUUCCUGCCCCACUGCUCUGCAACCCCUUUGUGGCCUUGGUGAAACUCGAGGCAUUCGUAACCCAUGCUUGUUAUGCAAGUACACAUGCUUGUUAUCAGUACACAGGCAGAAGCCUGACACGUAUAUGAACAUUGCCUGGCUACAGAAGCUGCGUAGUCACUUGUUCUCUCUACUCUGAGUUAAAUUCAGCCAUUGGAGGGCUUGUAAUUCUGAAAGCUGGCAACAACAGGUACUGUAUAAAAUAAUUGAGAUUGUUAAAAAAAAAAAAAAAAAAAAAA
This is a non-coding RNA of Anas platyrhynchos (mallard), 2904 nucleotides long. The record is from RefSeq and is a predicted model, not a curated record. NCBI's taxonomy places the organism in Eukaryota, Metazoa, Chordata, Aves, Anseriformes, Anatidae.